UCAUCGCUGAACUGGGUUAAUGUUGCAUGAGCUGCUUGUGAAGUAGUGGCCUUCAAGAAUAAACUUGAAACUCUUGUUGCUUUGGUUCCUGCUGCAGGAGGGUUUGGACCAGAGCCAGAGGAGAUGCCAUCAGAUAAUCCAGUUGAAGGAGAAGGAGCUGCAAUAGCUGAGGAAAGCUGUGAAGAUACUCAAGGGUCUGAUAGCCAGGCUCUUGGUGAACCAGUGACCAGAGAGGAUUUUUUACACUAUUCUGGGCGCUUCACUCUGGAUCCAAACACAGCAAACGAAGACCUCCAUCUGUCUGAGUGCAACAGAAGGGUAGAGUGUAGAGAGGAGGCCCUGCCCUAUCCUGAUCAUCCAGACAGAUUUGACUGGUAUCAGCAGGUCUUGUGCAGAGAGGGUGUAUCUGCCCGCUGCUACUGGGAGGUAGAAAUUGGUGAAAGGGUUUUUAUAUCAGUGUCAUAUAAAAGCAUCAGCAAGAAAGGACGGGGCAAUGAGUGUUUGUUUGGAAGUAAUGAUCAGUCCUGGUGUCUGGACCUCUACACCUCCAGCUUAUCUUUCAGACACAAUCAGAAAGAGACUAAACUCCCUCUAGUGGCCAGCUCCAGGAUAGGCAUAUAUGUGGAUCACAGGGCAGGAGAUCUGGCCUUCUACAGUAUCUCUGACACAAUGACCCUCCUGCACAGAAUCCAUACAACAUUCACAAAUGCACUCUACCCUGGGUUUAGGUUAUAUUAUGGAUCAUCAGUGAGACUAUUAUGAGGCCCCUACAAGUAAAUACUGCUCCUGUGUGUCAUUCAACACACGUGGCAAGUAUUUGUUUCAUUCGUGUAGUCCGUGGGUGUUGCUUUAAUGGGCCUGCUGUAUAUGAGAGGUUGUAUAUAAGCAACAACAAUAGCAAAACAAUAAAUGGCUUCAGCCAACUGUUGUGUCAUGUGCUCUUAUUUUGAUGCAGGCUGUAUCACCAUAUAUAUAGCCUACCGUAGGUUGCUAGGAGACUCAGAUAUGUUUAUGCUCUUGAA
Engraulis encrasicolus (European anchovy) is the source of this 1022-nucleotide long non-coding RNA. RefSeq lists it as uncharacterized. The record is from RefSeq and is a predicted model, not a curated record. Lineage: Eukaryota; Metazoa; Chordata; Actinopteri; Clupeiformes; Engraulidae. The transcript has 3 exons.